UUUGUUUAUCCAUUCAUCCAUAGGUGGACGUUGGAGUUACAUCUACCACUGGCUAUCAUGAACGAUGCUGCUAUGAACAUGUAUGUACUCACAUCUUUGAAUUCCUGCUUUUAAUUCUUUUGGGUAUACACCCAGAAAUGGAAUGGCUGGGUCAUCUGAUAAUCCUUUAUUUAAUGUUGGUGGAAAUACCAUUCUGUUUUCCAUAGUGGAAAUUUUUUAACUUUAAUUUUAAAGGGUAACAUACAUGCUUUAUGGACGGUGAAAAAAUACAGAAAAAUGUGUAGAAGAAAAUAAGUUACUCAUAAUACCACCACUUAUAGGGCCAGUGUUUUCAUUUUGAAAUAAUUCUGGCUAAUCUUCUUUCUUUAUAUCACAUUACAUACAUGGGUUUACCUGACUGUAUUUUUGUUUUUCAAACAGAAGUAUUUAGAUUGUAUUGCCUAUAUAAUCUUGUGGGUUUUUUUUUUACUCCAUAGUAUACUGUGAACAUUUCCAAUUUCUGUUAAUUUGUG
RNAcentral lists this long non-coding RNA (512 nucleotides) under Marmota monax (woodchuck). The record is from RNAcentral. Lineage: Eukaryota; Metazoa; Chordata; Mammalia; Rodentia; Sciuridae.